Molecule: ribosomal RNA, 483 nt
Filed under: uncultured bacterium
Lineage: Bacteria
Description: partial 16S ribosomal RNA
Rfam family: Bacterial small subunit ribosomal RNA
Source: RNAcentral
GACGAACGCUGGCGGCGUGCUUAACACAUGCAAGUCGAACGCUGAAGCUCAGCUUUUGUUGGGUGGAUGAGUGGCGAACGGGUGAGUAACGCGUGAGUAACCUGCCCCCUUCUUUGGGAUAACGCCCGGAAACGGGUGCUAAUACUGGAUAUUCACUGGUCUUCGCAUGGGGGUUGGUGGAAAGGGUUUUUCUGGUGGGGGAUGGGCUCGCGGCCUAUCAGCUUGUUGGUGGGGUGAUGGCCUACCAAGGCUUUGACGGGUAGCCGGCCUGAGAGGGUGACCGGUCACAUUGGGACUGAGAUACGGCCCAGACUCCUACGGGAGGCAGCAGUGGGGAAUAUUGCACAAUGGGCGCAAGACUGAUGCAGCGACGCCGCGUGAGGGAUGGAGGCCUUCGGGUUGUGAACCUCUUUCGCUAAUGGUCAAGCCGCAACAAUGGUUGUGGUGAGGGUAGUGGGUAAAGAAGCGCCGGCUAACUACGUG